RNAcentral lists this ribosomal RNA (527 nucleotides) under uncultured Sphingobacterium sp. RNAcentral's name for it is "bacterial SSU rRNA". It matches the Rfam family "Bacterial small subunit ribosomal RNA", at positions 9 to 527 of the family's 1533-position model. Lineage: Bacteria; Pseudomonadati; Bacteroidota; Sphingobacteriia; Sphingobacteriales; Sphingobacteriaceae. The record is from RNAcentral.
GAGUUUGAUCCUGGCUCAGGAUGAACGCUAGCGGCAGGCUUAAUACAUGCAAGUCGAGGGGCAGCAUGAGUGUAGCAAUACAUUUGAUGGCGACCGGCAAAACGGGUGCGGAACACGUACACAACCUUCCUUUAAGCGGGGAAUAGCCCGGGGAAACCCGGAUUAAUACCCCAUAGUAUGGUGAAGAGGCAUCUCUUUAUUAUUAAAGAUUUAUCACUUAAAGAUGGGUGUGCGGCUGAUUAGGUAGUUGGCGGGGUAACGGCCCACCAAGCCUACGAUCAGUAACUGGUGUGAGAGCACGACCAGUCACACGGGCACUGAGACACGGGCCCGACUCCUACGGGAGGCAGCAGUAAGGAUAUUGGUCAAUGGACGAAAGUCUGAACCAGCCAAUGCCGCGUGGAGGAUGAAGGUCCUCUGGAUUGUAAACUUCUUUUAUAUGGGACGAAAAAGGCCUUUCCAGGUCGUCUGACGGUACCAUAUGAAUAAGCACCGGCUAACUCCGUGCCAGCAGCCGCCGCCGUAAG